UACGGAGGGUGCAAGCGUUGCUCGGAAUCACUGGGCGUAAAGCGUACGCAGGCGGCUCGUUAAGUCGGGUGUGAAAGCCCUGGGCUCAACCCAGGAAGUGCACUCGAAACUGGCAAGCUAGAGGACGGGAGAGGAGAGCGGAAUUCCUGGUGUAGAGGUGAAAUUCGUAGAUAUCAGGAGGAACAUCAGUGGCGAAAGCGGCUCUCUGGCUCGUUUCUGACGCUCAUGUACGAGAGCGUGGGUAGCAAACAGG
This 253-nucleotide ribosomal RNA is filed under the name uncultured bacterium. RNAcentral's name for it is "partial 16S ribosomal RNA". It matches the Rfam family "Bacterial small subunit ribosomal RNA", at positions 524 to 776 of the family's 1533-position model. The record is from RNAcentral.